This 497-nucleotide ribosomal RNA is filed under the name uncultured bacterium. Its description in RNAcentral is "partial 16S ribosomal RNA". It matches the Rfam family "Bacterial small subunit ribosomal RNA", at positions 28 to 507 of the family's 1533-position model. The record is from RNAcentral.
GAUGAACGCUGGCGGCGUGCCUAAUACAUGCAAGUCGAGCGAACAGACGAGGAGCUUGCGCCCCUGACGUUAGCGGCGGACGGGUGAGUAACACGUGGAUAAACUACCUAUAAGACUGGGAUAAUUACGGGAAACCGGAGCUAAUACCGGAUAAUAUAUUGCACCUGAUUGUUCAAUAGUGAGAGUAGGUUUUUGUGACAGUUAUAGCUGAAUACGGGCCGGAUUAGCAGGUUGGUAAGGUAACGGCUUAGCAAGGCUACGAUGCGUAGCCGGCCUGAGAGGGUGAUCGGCUACACUGGAACUGAGACACGUUCCAGACUCCUACGGGAGGAAGCAGUGGGGAAUCUUACGCAAUGGGCGAGAGCGUGACGGAGCAACGCCGGGUGAGUGAUGAAGGUCUUCGGAUGGUAAAACUAUGUUAUUAGGAAAGAACAAAUGUGUAAGUACCUAGGAUCGUCUUGACGGUACCUAAUGAGAAAGCCCCGGCUAACUACGUG